RNAcentral lists this ribosomal RNA (207 nucleotides) under uncultured Lactobacillus sp. Its description in RNAcentral is "partial 16S ribosomal RNA". It matches the Rfam family "Bacterial small subunit ribosomal RNA", at positions 159 to 355 of the family's 1533-position model. The record is from RNAcentral. Lineage: Bacteria; Bacillati; Bacillota; Bacilli; Lactobacillales; Lactobacillaceae.
GAUGCUAAUACCGGAUAAAAGACUACUUUCGUCAUGAAAGAAGUUUAAAAGGACGGCGUAAGCUGUCGCUAAAGGAUGGACAUGCGAUGCAUUAGCUAGUUGGUAAGGUAACGGCUUACCAAGGCGAUGAUGCAUAGCCGAGUUGAGAGACUGAUCGGCCACAUUGGGACUGAGACACGGCCCAAACUCCUACGGGAGGCAGCAGCC